This 421-nucleotide ribosomal RNA is filed under the name Erginus sybariticus. RNAcentral's name for it is "partial large subunit ribosomal RNA". It matches the Rfam family "Bacterial large subunit ribosomal RNA", at positions 1959 to 2601 of the family's 2925-position model. Lineage: Eukaryota; Metazoa; Mollusca; Gastropoda; Acmaeidae. The record is from RNAcentral.
GCAUAAUCAUUUGCCUUUUAAUUGAUGGCCAGUAUGAAUGGUACAAUGAGAGUAAAGCUGUCUCCUUACUACUCUGCUGAAAUUAACCUCUAGGCGAAAAGGCCUAAAUAAAAAUACAAGACAAAUAGACCCUAUCGAACUUUAAGUGUUAAAAGGCAACCUACUAAAAAUAACAAACCUUAAAGCUUUUAGUUGGGGCAACUGAGGAACAAAUAAAGCUUCCUUUUAUUAUUAUAACCCUCAAGUAGAGGCCCGGGAAUUAUUCCCGAUAAGCGGAAAAAGUUACCGUAGGGAUAACAGCGUAAUUCCCCUGGUGAGCCCUUAUUAAAAGGGGAGUUUGCGACCUCGAUGUUGGAUUAAGAUAUCCUAAAAGUGCAGCAGCCUUUAAGGGUUGGUUUGUUCAACCAUUAAAAUCUUACAU